This is a long non-coding RNA of Lolium rigidum, 996 nucleotides long. RefSeq lists it as uncharacterized. The transcript is spliced from 3 exons. Lineage: Eukaryota; Viridiplantae; Streptophyta; Magnoliopsida; Poales; Poaceae. The record is from RefSeq and is a predicted model, not a curated record.
AAGCUGCCAAGGGAGCACAAGGAUUUUUCCGUACCGCUGUACAGAAAGGGAAAUGGCUUCAUUCACAUUGUCACACCAGAUUCUCAUUAGGGAGAAGAGCAUCCUCAACAGUAUGUGUUCCUGGUGCAGUUCACUUGAAGCGACAAGUGGUAGAGAUUUUAGAACUGUAUCUGAUCGAUCCCUCCCUUCCAAUCUGUUUUGCUGCACUGAAUGAAAAACUCGUGGUGGUUGUUUAGCUAAACCUGAGCAAAAUCAUGGCCUAUUCUUUUUUUCCCGUGAUCCCUUUAGCUUACUAGAUAUAUUCAAAAUAUGAUACCACGUUAUUAUUUCUCUUGAGAUCAUAGUUUACUGAACUACUUGAGAUGCCCUGCAUGUAUUUACUUGUGAGCAGAAACUUUAUUACUUCUAUACUGCAUGUUGCAGUUUCAGUUGAAACUAAAAGACCCUUUUCAUCUAGGGAUGACAUGCUGACACGAGGAGCUCCUAGAUGCCUUUGGAGCUGUCACCGGAGAGGACAGCACCAGUACUUCCUCGAGCAUGAGGUGUCCUGGGAUGGACACACUUGAAGGGUGCCAGUGAAUGUUUGCCGUUGGCUGGCUGGACUAGGUGGACUGAAACCACAUGCCCUGCGGCUAGUUCGUCCACCGGUAAGCGUUCUUCGAGCCUGCCAUGCGAGCCGUGUUCUCCGGUUUGUUGAUUUGGUGUGCAACCCUUGGCGAUUCAUUAAUUGCCGUGUUGUUUGUGUGCUAUAGUGCAAUCUGACUAUGAAUGUUGGUUUUGUCCGUGUGAAAAUAGCCACACAUUGCUAGAACCUGAUUCAUUCCCUUUUUGUCUUUUUCCCCUCCGGUAAGCGCUCUGCGAGUCGGCCCUGUGGGCCGUGUUGUGUGUGUUGUCUCCAACAUCAAACAGAUUUUUUGAUUUUGAUGUUACGUAUUUGUUGUGAAAAGCGGCCCUAAUCAGCUGGUUACUGCUGUUUUUCGGCCAAACCGCUUUGUA